RNAcentral lists this non-coding RNA (190 nucleotides) under uncultured eukaryote. The record is from RNAcentral.
CUUCAUUCUUCAUGCUUCACAUCUUGCUUCAUGGUUAUUUCAACAACAACAACAACAACAACAACAACAAAAGAGCAACAACCAGAAGAAAAUACAACACAUAAAAAACAGACAGCAAUGGCCGUUUUUUUUUUCUUGCGCCAGUUCUUUGUGUUUUUACUUGGCGGUGCGUUUUUUCUCCUUGUCCAGU